ACUCAAAUGAAUAGACGGGGGCCCGCACAAGCGGUGGAGCAUGUGGUUUAAUUCGAUGCAACGCGAAGAACCUUACCUACCCUUGACAUCCGUGGAAUUUUGCAGAGAUGCGAAAGUGCCGAAAGGAGCCACGAGACAGGUGCUGCAUGGCUGUCGUCAGCUCGUGUUGUGAGAUGUUGGGUUAAGUCCCGUAACGAGCGCAACCCUUAUCCUUAGUUACUACCACGUUAUGGUGAGGACUCUAAGGAGACUGCUGGUGAUGAACCGGAGGAAGGCGGGGACGACGUCAAGUCAUCAUGGCCUUUAUGGGUAGGGCUACACACGUGCUACAAUGGGAUGUACAGAGGGAAGCCAACCUGCGAAGGGGAGCCAAUCUCAGAAAACAUCUCGUAGUCCGGAUUGAAGUCUGCAACUCGACUUCAUGAAGUUGGAAUCGCUAGUAAUCGCGAAUCAGAAUGUCGCGGUGAAUACGUUCCCGGGCCUUGCACACACCGCCCGU
Molecule: ribosomal RNA, 499 nt
Filed under: uncultured bacterium
Lineage: Bacteria
Description: partial 16S ribosomal RNA
Rfam family: Bacterial small subunit ribosomal RNA
Source: RNAcentral